UGAGGAACAUGACUUUCGGCGGGGGAUAGCCGGCCCAACGGCCGGGUAAUACCGCGUACGACCUUUUGGGGACAUCCCUGAUUGGUGAAAGCAGCAAUGCGCCGAAAGAGUGCCUCGCGGCCUAUCAGCUAGUUGGUGGGGUAAUGGCUCACCAAGGCAACGACGGGUAGCUGGUCUGAGAGGAUGGCCAGCCACAUUGGGACUGAGACACGGCCCAGACCUCCGUACGGGAGGNAGCG
RNAcentral lists this ribosomal RNA (239 nucleotides) under uncultured bacterium. RNAcentral's name for it is "partial 16S ribosomal RNA". It matches the Rfam family "Bacterial small subunit ribosomal RNA", at positions 118 to 353 of the family's 1533-position model. The record is from RNAcentral.